AUAUUGUCGGUGGGAAAUUAGUGUGAAAUUCACUUGCUGUUCCUGCAACGGUUAAAGUCCGAAUGCCACCCAAUAAAGUCCGCUGUGAAUGAAGGCCAGGAAAAGUCUAAUUCUACAAUGAAAAA
Molecule: non-coding RNA, 125 nt
Filed under: unclassified sequences
Source: RNAcentral